Molecule: long non-coding RNA, 2089 nt
Organism: Olea europaea var. sylvestris
Lineage: Eukaryota; Viridiplantae; Streptophyta; Magnoliopsida; Lamiales; Oleaceae
Exons: 2
Source: RefSeq, a predicted model, not a curated record
UCUCAUUUUCAAAUUUCGUGAGAGGAAAAUGCAGAAACUAAGGGUGAAAUCUACGAAACGACACUCCAUUGAACACCUCGUCGAUGAGUCCGUCACUGAGAUAACAGCAACUAUAUGUUAUUCAGCUCAAUAAUGGAGAAGAAUUCUAUCCUUUUCACCUAUCCUCCUGAAGUGAGAUUCUAUUCUCCUUUUCCCACUACGCUGGGCCGACCCGACCCUAUAUAUGGUUUAAUAUAUGCUUCUUCUGAUGAUGGUUCUGUUCUCCAUGACAUAGAUUGACGAAUAAUAUAGAAAUUGGUCUAUCCUGGAGGAUAAAAUCGUGUUUCUUUUAGCUCAGUUUUUGUACUUAUUAAACUUGAAAAUUGAUUUGUUUUCCAGAUCAUAUACUUACUCAACUUCUCUGUCAUUUUGCUAUUGAUUCAUAAAAUGGGUUUCCAGAUCAUAUGCUUACUCUACUUCUCUAUCAUUUUUCUAUUGAUCCAUAAAAUGGGUUUUAUUAAUAUCUUAAAUUGUUACCUUGUCUUUCCUAGUAUUAAAAAUUACAAUCUUGGAAUUGGAAAAAUCACAUGAAUUAUGUAUUUCGUUCUCUUGUCUUUCCAAAUUCUAGUUCUUGUGUGCCUAUACCGUUCACUUUUGUCUAAAUGCACCUUUAGAAGAUUUGUAAGAAUGGUCAAUGGUUUGAAGUAUUAGUUAUCUCUGUCACCUUUACUGUUUUGUUAAAUGCCUAUAUCUUGGAUUUAUUAAGUUGGUCUUGCUAUCGUGCAGUUUUGGAUUCUUGCAUAUGUGUUGAGUGCUUUAAGUCUUUGUCAACUACAUAUUGUUUAUUUGAAUGAUUGUUGCUUGUAUAUAGAGAAGACGAUAAGAAUCUGAAAUUCAUAUUCUCAAUCAUGUCUACACCCCCCCACAGUUUUGGUGGGUAAAUAUCUAUUUCGAACCAAAAGAAUUAGACACUGAAAUUGUCUCUAACUGGUUAGGAAUUCUUCUGGACUCCCAACUAACCUUCAUUAAUUAUAGAACCUGAUUCCUUAAAGGCCAGGGACUUGUUAGUCAUGUAAGCAAGUCUCUCGUAAAAAUCAGGAAUAUUGACAGCAUCAUUCUUGGGUGAGCCUCUUGCCUUGCUGUGAUUGGAGGUUCAGUGAAUGAUGGUACAGUUAAUUAGGACAAGUUCAAGUUGUUGUUCAUGGUACUAUUGUUAUUUUCUUCAUUACAUGUGAUAAAUUUGGCUAGAAGUACUACAAUGGUAUUUGUGAAUUGUGAUGCAAUCCAAGUGAUUUGUGGUUUAGUCUUUGCGAGGGCUAAAUCGCGUUGCUUUGAUUUAAGUUUAUUAUUUUAAGCUGCCUUUAUAAUUCUCUAUAGUUAGAGCUAUUUUUGUUUAUCUAAACAAGAGAAGGGCUUUUGUUGUUUUUCAAUAGCUAAUUAAGGAAAUUUACUAGGAGUUUUUCACUCAGUCCAAUUUCAAUACCCGUGGGAAUCAAUAAUUUUGUCUUAAAAUCAAUUAUUAAGCAUUGUGGGUUAAUCAAUGAAUUCUUGAUUUCCUAAAUUUGCUUAUAUUCUCAGAAACAUACAUCUGUUCUUAUAGAGAUUUACAUAGCUUUGAAAAUCUUUGUACUGGCUUAGUUGUCAUUUUUAAUUUGCCAAGAUUCUCAGAUAUUACACCCUUAUAAUAGCAAAUACAGAUCCUCAAUCUAUAUUUGAAAAGUCUCCAGUUGAAUUUACUGAAGUAUCACUCAGUCGUUUCUCUCUUUUUUCCAUGCUACCUUUCCCCACAACAAAUCUUGUAUUUCUUUCUCUUCCUGCUUGGUGUCUCCUGUUCUGCUAAUGCACUUUCACUUCAGUUUGCAUGUUUUGCAGGUUCGCUAUGGGAGGAACUCUUGUGAAAAUUAGCAACUAAUGGACAGCUUCCAAUAUAUUCCUUUGUUAGAGGAAAAUAUCACUUUGUUAGAGAGGUAAACAGAGGGACGGUCCCUUUACGAAGACAUGGACAAUGUUUUUAGAGUAUUGAGUUAUUAUGUGCUUUAAGGCUAAUCAAUUAUUAUUAAGAAUGAGCUGCAAAGUACAUGUUAUUCAUAUAGUGCAUUCUAUAUUUCAA